Molecule: ribosomal RNA, 711 nt
Filed under: uncultured archaeon
Lineage: Archaea
Description: bacterial SSU rRNA
Rfam family: Archaeal small subunit ribosomal RNA
Source: RNAcentral
AGGAUGGGACUGCGGCGGAUUAGGUCGUUGUUAGUGUAAAUGACUAACAAGCCUGUAAUCCGUACGGGUCGUGAGAGCGAUAGCCCGGAGAUGGUCUCUGAGACAUGAAACCAGGCCCUACGGGGCGCAGCAGGCGCGAAAACUUCGCAAUGGACGAAAGUCUGACGAGGGAAUCCUGAGUGACAUCGCAUUGCGGUGUCUUUUAUCUACUGUAAAAAGGUAGAUGAAUAAGUGGUGGGUAAGACGGUUGCCAGCCGCCGCGGUAAUAACCGCGCCACAAGGGGUAAUCACGUUUAUUGGGCCUAAAGCAUCCGUAGCCGGCUCGAUUUGUCUCUGGUGAAAUCCUGCAGCAAACUGUAGGGCGUGCUGGAGAUACUGUCGGGCUUGGAACCGGGAGAGGGUAGGAGUACUAUACGGGUAAGGGUAAAAUCUUUUAAUCCGUAUAGGACUACCUGUGGCGAAGGCGCCUACCUGGAACGGGUUCGACGGUGAGGGAUGAAAGCGUAGGGAGCGAUCGGGAUUAGAUACCCCGGUAGUCUACGCUGUAAACGAUGCCCACUUGGUGUUGCGUACCCUUCGAGGAUAUGCAGUGCCGGAGCGAAGGCGUUAAGUGGGCCGCCUGGGAAGUACGACCGCAAGGUUGAAACUUAAGGGAAUUGGCGGGGGAGCACACAAGAGGUGGAGGCUGCGGUUUAAUUGGAUCAACGCCGG